GGGCCUGUAGCUCAGCGGUAAGAGCAGCGGACUCAUAAUCCGUUGGUCCACAGUUCAAAUCUGUGCAGGCCCACCA
Molecule: transfer RNA, 76 nt
Filed under: Acinetobacter baumannii
Lineage: Bacteria; Pseudomonadati; Pseudomonadota; Gammaproteobacteria; Moraxellales; Moraxellaceae
Description: tRNA-Ile
Rfam family: tRNA
About the family: Transfer RNA (tRNA) molecules are approximately 80 nucleotides in length.
Source: RNAcentral